GUGGAUCAGAAACCCAGUGACAAAACUCGGGUCUGCAUCUGCCAUUUUCCAGUGGGAAAGAGAAAUGGCCCUAUAUUUAUCAGAAACAGUAGCUAGCUCAUCCACCAUGGCAGAAGAGGAAGAUCCAGACUGUUGAUUGGGAAACAAGAACAAACAAUGAGGCAUGAGGAUUGGGUGUUGAGGGAUCACUUGUCACAAUGUUCAAGGAGUGCAUCCCUCGGGCCAUCCGGUGCAUGGACAUCCUGUGCCAGUGUGAUUGGAGCACAAGCGUCCAGUUGUAGAGACUACAGCAGAUCGAGCCGGUGGACGGACAGACAUGACACGUGAAAUAUGGAACAUCAGGCUCACUCCACAAGAAGCAGUGCAUGAUCAACACUACCCUCAGCAAGGAGAUCUGAUGGAAGUGAUCUCUCUCUUUCACUCUGGGGCUAAGACAUCAUCUAAACAUCACAGAUAUAAAUUCCCACUGUGCAUUACUUUAGUUGGCUGCUUUGAUGAAGACUUCUAUGCAAUAUAACCUAUUCUAGAAGCCUAGUGUGUGUAUGAUUUCUAUUCAUUGUUCACUUGUUUUUCAACAAUGUCAGAUACAGGCAGGGAUGACUGGGGCCUUCAGCAAGUAAAACACAUGGGACCAUUGGAAAAAACAGGUACUGACAGGAGGAGCAAUAUGAGUCUGUCAGAGGUCAUCACCCUGGAUGGGGAUGGUGAUGGUGUCACGGCUUUCGUCAGAAGAAGAAGAGGAGUCAUUGGACCAAAAUGCAGC
Long non-coding RNA from Oncorhynchus kisutch (coho salmon), 763 nucleotides. RefSeq lists it as uncharacterized. The record is from RefSeq and is a predicted model, not a curated record. Lineage: Eukaryota; Metazoa; Chordata; Actinopteri; Salmoniformes; Salmonidae. The transcript is spliced from 4 exons.